UGGCUUCCAUUGUCUUUGUGUGUGUGUGU
Molecule: non-coding RNA, 29 nt
Filed under: Homo sapiens (human)
Lineage: Eukaryota; Metazoa; Chordata; Mammalia; Primates; Hominidae
Source: RNAcentral